AGGGUUCAUAAAAUUCACUUUUCAAACACCAUCACCGCCUCGUUCUCACCCUCCAUGCCCCGAUGACGAAGUGGUCGAUACCUCGUGUACCGUUUCUCUCAUGCCUUUUCUUUCUCCUUCCAGAUCGAGAUUCAAGCUUUUUGGGGAUAGUGUUAACGCAUAUGAGCUUAUCGUAGUGGCUAACAGCAAUAACAGAGAUCAGAUCAUGUAAAGUUGAGCUGGAGAAAUGUUAUACUAGGGACUGGAUUAGCUUUCAAACAAUGUUAACAAGAGAGGCGGUUUCCUUUGAACUUAACCCUGCCAGGGUUCGAGGCGAGCAUCUGAGAAAGAACAAAGAACACUCCAGAGAUACUUGAUGGGGAUCCUCUCUAAGCACUAAGAUUAGGGAAAGUAGUUUUUGAUGAUGGACUGAUAUGAGCAUCAAAACUGAAGGCUAAAGAACAAAGCUGAUAUUUGCUUAUGUUGUUGUAAUGAUACGAGAUUCAAUCAAGUCCGCCUUGUUAAAAUGGAAUUUUCUAAAUUAAUGUUGGUUCCCAAGGGUAAUGGGAUUUACUCCAAGAAAAAAAUCAGUAUAGGUUGCGCUGCUAAGUCGUAUUUUUUAAGAUUUGGUUUGUAGAUCUAAUGAAUGUUGUAACGAUAAUGUUGAAAAAAAUCGUUUGUUUUGAGCUUACAA
Molecule: long non-coding RNA, 673 nt
Organism: Cornus florida
Lineage: Eukaryota; Viridiplantae; Streptophyta; Magnoliopsida; Cornales; Cornaceae
Exons: 3
Source: RefSeq, a predicted model, not a curated record